UACGUAUGGUGCAAGCGUUAUCCGGAUUUACUGGGUGUAGAGGGAGCGCAGGCGGCACGGCAAGCCUGAUGUGAAAGCCCGCGGCCCAACCGCGGGACUGCAUUGGGAACUACCGGGCUGGAGUGCCGGAGAGGUAGGCGGAAUUCCUAGUGUAGCGGUGAAAUGCGUAGAUAUUAGGAGGAACACCAGUGGCGAAGGCGGCCUACUGGACGGUGACUGACGCUGAGGCUCGAAAGCGUGGGGAGCAAACAGG
This 253-nucleotide ribosomal RNA is filed under the name uncultured bacterium. RNAcentral describes it as "partial 16S ribosomal RNA". It matches the Rfam family "Bacterial small subunit ribosomal RNA", at positions 524 to 776 of the family's 1533-position model. The record is from RNAcentral.